This 838-nucleotide long non-coding RNA is filed under the name Mustela putorius furo (domestic ferret). RNAcentral's name for it is "lncRNA (ENSMPUG00000027210.1)". Lineage: Eukaryota; Metazoa; Chordata; Mammalia; Carnivora; Mustelidae. The record is from RNAcentral.
UUUGGGGACACGUGGCCUUUGCGUGUCUCAGCUCGGAGGUGCUGUCUCUCCUGCGUUGGACUCUGGCUGCUCCAGAUCGAGUAGAAGUGGGGCUUAUGGGUCCCAUGCUUCUGCUUCUAAUGGGGACGCGGAGCCUCGGCAGUGCAGAGUCCCGCAAUCUCAUGAUGGGCUGGGGCCGGAGGCUGAGGUCACCGAGGGGCUGCGAAGCACGGUGGACGGCCACAAGGAGUCCGUGGGACCUCGUGGGCUGAACCAGACGGAGACGAGCACAGAGUCAAUCUCAGCACCGAGGAGGGGGCGCGAGGCCCCCGGGGGGACUUUGUCAGGGGUGAGCAGACCCAGAGCUGAACUUGGGAGGGGACGGACGCCCACGGGAAACUGUGACACGGUCCCGUUCCGUGCUGAGAACUGUGAAUCCCACCGCACCUGUGCUGGGGCUUCUCGCGGACGAGCCUGGGGGCUGGUCUGUUGGUGGGGAGGGGAGGGUUCGAAGGGCCGGUGCGACUCGACGCCGGGUGCGGACGACCCCCAGGUCACCGUGACGCGGGCUCCAGCCCGCCCACGCGUCUCAUUCUCCCCCGAGGCCCGUGAGGUGGGGGUAACGGCCGCCAGGCUUUCCCACAGCAGCUGGUAGGGGCCACGGUGGUGCAGACGACCCCCCAGAGGGAAGUGUGCAUCCCAGAACCUUCCAGAAGCCGAGGCUGGCUGCUCCGAGAGCCCUCCCUGCCUCGCCGCAGGAGUUCAGAGGUUCUGCGGCCACACAAAACCGGCGUUGCUUUUAGCCGGGCGAACCUCUGACGGUGUCCCGCGCGUCCUUCCGUUAUCCCUCAGGUGCAAG